AUGAACGCUGGCGGCGUGCCUAAUACAUGCAAGUCGAGCGAACAGACGAGGAGCUUGCUCCUCUCACGUUAGCGGCGGACGGGUGAGUAACACGUGGAUAACCUACCUAUAAGACUGGGAUAACUUCGGGAAACCGGAGCUAAUACCGGAUAAUAUAUUGAACCGCAUGGUUCAAUAGUGAAAGACGGUUUUGCUGUCACUUAUAGAUGGAUCCGCGCCGCAUUAGCUAGUUGGUAAGGUAACGGCUUACCAAGGCAACGAUGCGUAGCCGACCUGAGAGGGUGAUCGGCCACACUGGAACUGAGACACGGUCCAGACUCCUACGGGAGGCAGCAGUAGGGAAUCUUCCGCAAUGGGCGAAAGCCUGACGGAGCAACGCCGCGUGAGUGAUGAAGGUCUUCGGAUCGUAAAACUCUGUUAUUAGGGAAGAACAAAUGUGUAAGUAACUAUGCACGUCUUGACGGUACCUAAUCAGAAAGCCACGGCUAACUACGUG
This 496-nucleotide ribosomal RNA is filed under the name uncultured bacterium. RNAcentral's name for it is "partial 16S ribosomal RNA". It matches the Rfam family "Bacterial small subunit ribosomal RNA", at positions 29 to 507 of the family's 1533-position model. The record is from RNAcentral.